AGAAAUCGAGUGCCUUAUCUGCAAUCUUCUCCCUCUUCAAUCGAAAGACCUCAAAGGUCACCUCCAUUAGAUCUCCAAUUAAUAAGCAACCAAAUCCACUAAUCCCAAAACAAGGCAACCCUUCCACUGUCCAAAAUGUGAUAUUAGGAGGAUUUAUGAUGGGAAAUCAGCCGAUUAAUCCCACUCCACUCCUUCCCCAAAGUAGCAAAGCUAAGAAAUACAAAAAUGGAAAAAGAACAGACCCCCACCACCAUCUCCACCCACCCCUGCCACCAGACUACCAACCGGCCUCCUGGUUGGAGGUUGCCUUGUAGGGGCAAGGCCUCUUAUGCGACUUCACUAUCGACAACAAGACAAUCACAUUGAUAGUGAAAAACCCAGCUCAUAUGGCAAGAGCAAUAGUGUAAACUCUCAACAAAACUUUGACAGCAUUUGGCCCGCUUCUAUGGCAGUUGAUGGCCAACAGAGACAACCCUACUCCGAUCACUGAUCCACAAACCCUAAACAAUCAGAUACUCCAAAGUUUCCAUUCUAUCAUUGUCUUCCAAGAUCUGUUGAAGGAGGACCCAGCAGC
Molecule: long non-coding RNA, 574 nt
Filed under: Nicotiana benthamiana
Lineage: Eukaryota; Viridiplantae; Streptophyta; Magnoliopsida; Solanales; Solanaceae
Description: long non-coding RNA (NBEN_LNC011615)
Source: RNAcentral